This 73-nucleotide transfer RNA is filed under the name Caudoviricetes sp. RNAcentral describes it as "tRNA-Glu". It matches the Rfam family "tRNA". Rfam says of the family: Transfer RNA (tRNA) molecules are approximately 80 nucleotides in length. Lineage: Duplodnaviria; Heunggongvirae; Uroviricota; Caudoviricetes. The record is from RNAcentral.
GGGGUCGUGGUCAAGCGGCUAAGACACCGCCCUUUCACGGCGGUAACGAUGGGUUCGAUUCCCUCCGACCUCA